Molecule: ribosomal RNA, 254 nt
Filed under: uncultured bacterium
Lineage: Bacteria
Description: partial 16S ribosomal RNA
Rfam family: Bacterial small subunit ribosomal RNA
Source: RNAcentral
UACGUAGGGGGCAAGCGUUGUCCGGAUUUAUUGGGCGUAAAAGGCUUGUAGGUGGCCACGCCAAGUCGGAUGUGAAAUCUCCCGGCUCAACUGGGAGGGGUCAUUCGAUACUGGCGGGCUCGAGGCCGGUAGGGGGAAGUGGAAUUCCCGGUGUAGUGGUGGAAUGCGUAGAUAUUGGGAGGAACACCGGUGGCGAAGGCGGCCCCCUGGACCGGUACUGACGCUGAGGCGCGAAAGCGUGGGUAGCAAACGGG